This 31-nucleotide non-coding RNA is filed under the name Mus musculus (house mouse). Lineage: Eukaryota; Metazoa; Chordata; Mammalia; Rodentia; Muridae. The record is from RNAcentral.
UAGAAAACUCCAGAUACAUAGGUCCAUGAUC